Molecule: ribosomal RNA, 579 nt
Filed under: Pseudomonas aeruginosa
Lineage: Bacteria; Pseudomonadati; Pseudomonadota; Gammaproteobacteria; Pseudomonadales; Pseudomonadaceae
Description: partial 23S ribosomal RNA
Rfam family: Bacterial large subunit ribosomal RNA
Source: RNAcentral
CGCUUGACUGCGAGACAGACACGUCGAGCAGGUACGAAAGUAGGUCUUAGUGAUCCGGUGGUUCUGUAUGGAAGGGCCAUCGCUCAACGGAUAAAAGGUACUCCGGGGAUAACAGGCUGAUACCGCCCAAGAGUUCAUAUCGACGGCGGUGUUUGGCACCUCGAUGUCGGCUCAUCACAUCCUGGGGCUGAAGCCGGUCCCAAGGGUAUGGCUGUUCGCCAUUUAAAGUGGUACGCGAGCUGGGUUUAGAACGUCGUGAGACAGUUCGGUCCCUAUCUGCCGUGGACGUUUGAGAUUUGAGAGGGGCUGCUCCUAGUACGAGAGGACCGGAGUGGACGAACCUCUGGUGUUCCGGUUGUCACGCCAGUGGCAUUGCCGGGUAGCUAUGUUCGGAAAAGAUAACCGCUGAAAGCAUCUAAGCGGGAAACUUGCCUCAAGAUGAGAUCUCACUGGGAACUUGAUUCCCCUGAAGGGCCGUCGAAGACUACGACGUUGAUAGGCUGGGUGUGUAAGCGUUGUGAGGCGUUGAGCUAACCAGUACUAAUUGCCCGUGAGGCUUGACCAUAUAACACCCAAACA